AGAGAUCAUCAGUUUGAAGAGGCUACACAGAUUAACACCUAAACCAGAAAGAAGUCCUAGGAUGGCAAAGAUUUCACGCAACCAUCUUGUUCUCGUAGCUUUUUUCCUGCUUUGCUUUGCUUCCACCUGUGCUAGAGCAGCAAGGACUUUGCGAGAGGUUAACAAUCAUGAAGUAGAGAAGAAGGACCAUAAUAAUCUGUUUCCAUCAAAAGAAAAUGGGUUACAUGAUGUGGAUGAACUAGCUGGGAUGGACUACACCCCAGCAAGUAAGAAGCCUCCAAUCCAUAACUAAAAUGGAAAAAUUUUGGUUGAGCUACUAUAAGAGUUUAGCCUAUUCUUGUACCUACACUUCUAUAUAUGAUUUUGAGCUUAAUAAUUAAUAUAGCUUUGUAGCUAGUGCCUAGCAGAUACAUUUUAAUAUAUAGAUGGGGCAAAUACUGCACUAUAUUAAUUACUCUGUGGUUAUUUAGAGCGUAACUUGCAAUACAUGUUGCACUAGGGGGGGUUCCGUGUAUGGAAAUUGAUCUUUUGUCACUUAGGUUAUAUCAAGGCAUAAAGUUAGCUGACUUGUAGCAUGAUAUACAGAUGUAUCUGCUAUGCUUGUAAUACCUUGGUUAUGAAAUCCAAGUGCAAUUUUCUUUUCU
Populus euphratica (Euphrates poplar) is the source of this 644-nucleotide long non-coding RNA. RefSeq lists it as uncharacterized. NCBI's taxonomy places the organism in Eukaryota, Viridiplantae, Streptophyta, Magnoliopsida, Malpighiales, Salicaceae. The transcript is spliced from 2 exons. The record is from RefSeq and is a predicted model, not a curated record.